Molecule: ribosomal RNA, 467 nt
Filed under: uncultured bacterium
Lineage: Bacteria
Description: partial 16S ribosomal RNA
Rfam family: Bacterial small subunit ribosomal RNA
Source: RNAcentral
GACGAACGCUGGCGGCGUGCUUAACACAUGCAAGUCGAACGGAAAGGCCUCAGCUUGCUGGGGUACUCGAGUGGCGAACGGGUGAGUAACACGUGGGUGAUCUGCCUUGCACUCUGGGAUAAGCUUGGGAAACUGGGUCUAAUACCGGAUAUGAACUGCCUUUAGUGUGGUGGUUGGAAAGUUUUUUCGGUGCAAGAUGAGCUCGCGGCCUAUCAGCUUGUUGGUGGGGUAAUGGCCUACCAAGGCGUCGACGGGUAGCCGGCCUGAGAGGGUGUACGGCCACAUUGGGACUGAGGUACGGCACAGACUCCUACGGGAGGCAGCAGUGGGGAAUAUUGCACAAUGGGCGGAAGCCUGAUGCAGCGACGCCGCGUGGGGGAUGACGGCCUUCGGGUUGUAAACUCCUUUCGACAGGGACGAAGCUUUUUGUGACGGUACCUGUAUAAGAAGCACCGGCUAACUACGUG